CCCGAUGAACCUGAAUAUCCGUUAUGGAAAAUUCAUCAUUAGAAUUGUAAUAUUUAAACAAUAUUAUAAUAAUAGUGUGCAUUUUUUCCAUAUAAGGACAUUGUAAUCUAUUAGCAUAUUAAAUUUAUCAUAAAAUUAUGUCAUAUAGUUUAUUUCAAUUAAAAUGCUUGCGUUUUAACAUGAAAUAAAAGUCAUAAAUUUGAUAAAGUGCUGAUAGAUUUAUAAGAAUACAGUGCGUUAAUUUUUCGGAAUUAUAUAAUGGCAUAAUUAUCAUUGAUUUUUAUGUUUAUUAUAUGCACUUGUAUGAUUAACAAUGCGAAAGAUUCAGGAUACCUUCGGG
Molecule: ribosomal RNA, 340 nt
Filed under: Drosophila aldrichi
Lineage: Eukaryota; Metazoa; Arthropoda; Insecta; Diptera; Drosophilidae
Description: eukaryotic LSU rRNA
Source: RNAcentral